Molecule: transfer RNA, 70 nt
Filed under: Chalcopteryx rutilans
Lineage: Eukaryota; Metazoa; Arthropoda; Insecta; Odonata; Polythoridae
Description: tRNA-Thr
Rfam family: tRNA
About the family: Transfer RNA (tRNA) molecules are approximately 80 nucleotides in length. Their secondary structure includes four short double-helical elements and three loops (D, anti-codon, and T loops).
Source: RNAcentral
GUUAUAGUAGUUUAUAAAAACAUCGGUCUUGUAAACCGAAGAUGUGAACAAAUAGGUUUCUCCUAAAACU